This 198-nucleotide ribosomal RNA is filed under the name uncultured bacterium. RNAcentral's name for it is "partial 16S ribosomal RNA". It matches the Rfam family "Bacterial small subunit ribosomal RNA", at positions 328 to 539 of the family's 1533-position model. The record is from RNAcentral.
ACGCUCGACACCUACGAGAGGCAGCAGUGGGGGAUAUUGCACAAUGGGGGAAACCCCGAUGCAGCAACGCCGCGUGAAGGAUGAAGGUUUUCGGAUUGUAAACUUCUGUUCUUAGUGACGAUAAUGACGGUAGCUAAGAAGAAAGCUCCGGCUAACUACGUGCCAGUAGCCGCGGUAAUCUGAGCGGGCUGGCAAGGC